This 436-nucleotide ribosomal RNA is filed under the name uncultured bacterium. RNAcentral's name for it is "bacterial SSU rRNA". It matches the Rfam family "Bacterial small subunit ribosomal RNA", at positions 340 to 772 of the family's 1533-position model. The record is from RNAcentral.
UACGGAAGGCAGCAGUGGGGAAUAUUGCACAAUGGGCGCAAGCCUGAUGCAGCCAUGCCGCGUGUAUGAAAAAGGCCUUCGGGUUGUAAAGUACUUUCAGUCGUGAGGAAGGUGUUAAGGUUAAUAACCUUAGCAAUUGACGUUAGCGACAGAAGAAGCACCGGCUAACUCCGUGCCAGCAGCCGCGGUAAUACGGAGGGUGCGAGCGUUAAUCGGAAUCACUGGGCGUAAAGGGCACGCAGGCGGUUAAUUAAGUUGGAUGUGAAAUCCCCGGGCUUAACCUGGGAAUGGCAUUCAAGACUGGUUAGCUAGAGCCUUGUAGAGGGGGUAGAAUUCCAUGUGUAGCGGUGAAAUGCGUAGAGAUGUGGAGGAUACCGGUGCGAAGGCGGCCCCUGGGACAAGACUGACGCUCAUGUGCGAAAGCGUGGGGAGCAAA